CAAUUUAUAAGAGCGUAUGGUGGAUGCCUUGACAUCACAUGACGAUGAAGGACGUUGUAGGGUGCGAUAAGCCUCGGGGAGGUCCCAAACAACCUUUGAUCCGGGGAUUUCCGAAUGGGGAAACCCAUAUACGGCAAACCGUAUAUAUCCAUGCUUGAAUAUAUAGAGUAUGGAAGAAGACCUAGGGAAGUGAAACAUCUCAGUACCUAGAGGAAGAAAAAUCAAUAAGAACUUCUCUUUUGUUUUGUCUGCGUUUACGCGGACACAACGAAAGUGAAGUACGUGAGAUUCCCCCAGUAGUGGCGAGCGAACGGGGAAGAGCCCAAACCUAUUGUGUGUUGGUGAUCGUAGCGGUUUAUCGCAAGAUAAAUUGAGGCCUUCACUUUAAAGAUUCAAGUCGUUGCACAUUAGGUGUUGUGAGAUAGAAACGUUACGUAACUUGAAAUGCGUAGAUGGGAGUUACGAUGUAAUAAAAGAAUGGCUUUGGAAUAGCCAACCAUAGAGGGUGACAGUCCCGUAUUUGAAAUUAUUUUCGUACACCAUGGUUUUUACUCUCGAGUAGGACGGGACUCGCGAAAUCCUGUCUGAAGCUGGGUCGACUAUGAUCCAAGGCUAAAUACGUUUGAUGAUCGAUAGUGAACUAGUACCGUGAGGGAAAGGUGAAAAGUAGGCCG
RNAcentral lists this ribosomal RNA (674 nucleotides) under Candidatus Magasanikiibacteriota bacterium. RNAcentral describes it as "bacterial LSU rRNA". It matches the Rfam family "Bacterial large subunit ribosomal RNA", at positions 1 to 528 of the family's 2925-position model. Lineage: Bacteria; Candidatus Magasanikiibacteriota. The record is from RNAcentral.